Molecule: long non-coding RNA, 643 nt
Filed under: Brassica napus (rape)
Lineage: Eukaryota; Viridiplantae; Streptophyta; Magnoliopsida; Brassicales; Brassicaceae
Description: long non-coding RNA (BNAP_LNC009821)
Source: RNAcentral
UCUUAGUUAAAAAUAAUAAAACUAAAAUUUUAUGGUUUUAAAUGAGAUUCUAAAACGAUUUAAACUAAAAUCAUGUAAGAUUUCUAAUUCAUCUACAAUUAUCUUACAACUCACUCAAAACAAAAUUAUUUCAAAAACAAAUAUUUGAUAAAAAAUGAUAAAUAAAAGUGAGAUGUGUGGUUUCCAUUUAAACCCACUCCCAAUAAUAUACAUGAUUUGUUUUAGACUCAGCAUAACUUCAAAUUACUACCUUAGCGAAAUCAUCUCAUCUGCCGGUUGCCUUAAUCAAUAACCUAACACCAUAUGCGACCCAUCGAUCCAUUAGCCUCGCCCAAGGAUAGGACCAUACUUAGGGUCUAUAGGCUAAUAUAGAUGGUUUGAGUAGCCUACAUAAAUGCACCAAACAAAGAUAAUACAUUCGACCUCAACUCUCAAUCGUCUAACCAAACAAUCCUAAUCUAACCCAAAGGCCAUGACCAUGAACCGGCCAUCCAUAGACCUUCGGUCCUAACCAUCGCACUCACAUUAUCCAAUCAAAGAGAAUAAGAAGAAUAAGAAAAUCACAAACACAAAAGGUACCCUUUCGUUCCUUUUCCAAAUCCGACAAACCAUCUCGCCGGACAGCCUCAAACCAACCGAGCAC